RNAcentral lists this ribosomal RNA (100 nucleotides) under Pseudomonas sp. A25(2017). The record is from RNAcentral. Lineage: Bacteria; Pseudomonadati; Pseudomonadota; Gammaproteobacteria; Pseudomonadales; Pseudomonadaceae.
CCUUGGAACCACCUGAUCCCAUCCCGAACUCAGCAGUGAAACGAUGCAUCGCCGAUGGUAGUGUGGGGUUUCCCCAUGUGAGAGUAGGUCAUCGUCAAGA